AUGGGAAGCUUUGUCUAUCAUACUCUCUUUAUUGAUGGAAUCACUUACCUAUGUGCUACAGACAAUGCCUUGGAUACCAUAACACCAUCUGCAUUUCUUACAAAUGUUAGUGAUACUUUUCUGAGAAAUCCUUUGAUGUCGCAAGAACAUUUUUCUCCUUCAAAUGCCGUUGCUGCAGAUUUUCAACAAGUAUUAGGAAAGUAUAUGAUGAAAUACAAUAAAAAUCAAGAUGGUAGCUCAAUAUCUACAUUGAAGAGUCAAGUAACUGAUGUAAAAAAUAUUAUGUCCCAAAAUAUUGAUGAAAUUUUGGAAAGCGAAAAAAGAUUGAAUAUCUACACUGAUAGAACCAGUUAUCUCCAAACAACUGUAAGUGAUGCUCUCGUCUUGGUAUCUAAAUAGUGUUCUAAGCCUUGAGACAAAUGGCUAAAAGCAAAUGCAUUCCAGGGAUACCGUGAGAUAAUCCUAUGUCGCCAAACUAUGGCUUUAUCAAAAAAUUAUUAGAAUGCAACUAAAGUAUUUUUUUAAUUAUAAAACAAUGAAAAUUUUAAAACCCAUUAAAGUAGUAGGUGGCUAUUUGCAUAACAUAUAUUUCUUACAUUAAUAAAUACACAGGUUAAUCAACAAAUAAAUUUCAAGGACCAAAAAAAAGAGGGAGAACUAACCAAAAAAUGGGUUGAGAAAGUUACCAACUGCAAUGUGUGGGCCUUAUUUGGAAUUUAAUUCAAACAAAUUAUAAAAAUGAAAAUUUAUAACUUCGUGAGAUAAUUAGAUGUUUGAACUCUGACUAGAUAUUAGAUGACAUUAAGGAAUAUUACUAGUUUUUAACUGUGAUAAUGGUAUUGUGGUUAUGCUUUAAAAAGAGUCAUUACUGGGGAUCCCUGGGUGGCGCAGCGGUUUAGCGCCUGACUUUGGCCCAGGACGCAAUCCUGGAGACCCGGCAUCGAAUCCCACAUCGGGCUCCCAGUAUGUCUGCCUAUGUCUCUGCCUCUCUCUCUCUGUGUGUGUGACUAUCAUAAAUAAAUAAAAAUUUAAAAAAUAAAAAAAUAAGAAAAAGUCAUUACUUAUUAGAGAUACAUAUUAAAAUAUUUUGAGUCAAUUUAUAUGAUGUCUGAGAUUAGCUUCAGAACAAUUCAGGAAUAGAAUGGGGUAUAAAUGAAACAAAAUUGGCCAUAAAUUGAUAACUGUUAAAACUGGAUGUUGAAGGUGCCUGGGUGGAUCAGUUGGUUGAGCGUCUGCCUUCAGCUCAGGUCAUGAUCCAGGAGUCCUGGGACUGAGCCCUGUGUCAGGCUGUCUACUCAACAGGGAAUCUGUUCCUCCUUCUCCCUCUGUCCCCCCACCCAGCUCAUGCACUCUCUCUCUCUCAAACAAAUAAAUAAAAUAUUCAAAAACCCAGAUAUUGGGCAGCCCCGGUGUCUCAGAGGUUUAGUGCCGCCUUCAGCCCAGGGCAUGAUCCUGGAGACCCAGGAUGGAGUCCCACAUCAGGCUCUCUGCAUGGAGCCUGCUCCUCCCUCUGCCUGUGUCUGUUCCUCUGUGUGUGUGUGUGUCUCGUGAAUAAAUAAAUAAAAUCUUAAAAAAUAAAAAAUAAUAAAUAAUAACCCAGAUAUUUGGGCACCCGGGUGCUAGGUGGUUGAGCAUCUGCCUUUGGCUCAGGUCAUGAUCCCAGGGUCCUGGGAUCAGGUCCCAAAUCAGGCUCCCAGUAGGGAGCCUGCUUCUUUCUCUGCCUGUGUCUCUGCCUCUCUGUGUGUCUCAUGAAUAAAUAAAUAAAAUCUUUUUUUUUUUAAAUGGAUAUUGAAUAUAUAAGGGGUUCAUUAUCCCAUUCUGUCAACUUCUGUAUAUAUUCAAAAUUCUCUCAAUCAGUAAUAGUUAAUUACCUUAGGGUAUUUUAAAUUUUAUUUUUUACAGAUUUUUUUUCUAGAAUACCUUCUAGUUCCAUCCACAUCACUGCCAAUGGCAAGAUUUCCAAUUUUUGAUGGCUGCGUAGUAUUCCACUGUGUGUGUGUGUGUGUGUGUGUGUGUGUGUGUGUGUGUGUGUGUAUCUAUCCAUUCAUCUGUCAACAAACAUCUGGGCUCUCUCCAUAGUUUGGGUAUUAUGAACAUUGCUGCUAUAAACAUUGGGGUGCAGGUGCCCCUUUGGAUCACUACGUUUGUAUCUUUGGGUUAAAUACCCAGUAGUGCAAUUGUUGGGUCAUAGGGUAGCUCUAUUUUCAACUUUUUCAGGAACCUCCAUACUGUUUUCCAGAAUGGUGGCACCAGCUUGCAUUCCCACCAACAGUGUAGGAGACUUCCCCCUUCUCCACACCCUCACCAACAUCUGUCGUUUCCUGACUUGCUCACUUUUGCCAUUCUGACUGGUGUGAGGUGGUAUCUCAGUGUAGUUUUGGUUUAUAUUUCCCUGAGUGAUGUUGAGCGCUAAAAAAAUGUGUGUGUCUAUUGGACAUUUGUAUGUCUUCUUUGGAGAAAUGUCUGUUCAUGUCUUCUGCCCAUUUCUUGAUUGGAUUAUUUUUUCUUUCCAUGUUGAGUUUUAUAAAUUCUUUAUAGAUCUUGGAUACUAGCCCUUUAUCUGAUCUGUCAUUUGCAAAUAUCUUCUCCCAUUUUGUUGGUUGUCUUUUGGUUUUGUCGACUGUUUCCUUUGCUGUGCAAAAGCUUUUUAUCUUGAUGAAGUCCCAAUAAUUUAUUUCUGCCUUUUGUUCCCUUGCCUUUGUAGACAUACCUAGCAAGAAGUUGAUGCAGCCGAGGUCACAGAGGUUGCUGCCUGUGGUCUCCUCUAGGAUUUUGAUGGAUUCCUGUCUCACAUUUAGAUCUUUCAUUAUUUUUUAAUGUAUUUUUGUGUAUGAUGUAAGGAAAUGAUCUAGUUUCAUUCUUCUUCAUGUGGCUAUCCAAUUUUGCCAACACUAUUUGUUGAAGAAACUGUUUUUUUUCCCCCAUUGGAUAUUCUUUCCUGUUUUGUCAAAGAUAAGUUGACCAUAGAGUUGGGGAUCCAUUUCUGGGUUCCCUUUUCUGUUGCUUUGAUCUAUGUGUCUAUUUUUGUGCCAGUACCAUACUGUCUUGAUGAUUACAGCUUUGUAAUAGAGCUUGAAGUCCAGUUUUGGUUUUUUCAACAUUCCUUUGGCUAUUCAGGGUCUUUUCUGGUUCCAUACAAAUUUUAGGAUUAUUUGGGGUGUCUGGGUGGCUCAGCGGUUGAGCGGCUGCCUUUCACUCAGGUAGUGAUCUCAGGGCUCUGGGAUCGAGUCCCACAUCGGGCUCCCCACAGGGAGCCUGCUUCUCCUUCUGCCUGUGUCUCUGCCUCUCUUUGUGUCUUUC
This 3300-nucleotide long non-coding RNA is filed under the name Canis lupus familiaris (dog). Its description in RNAcentral is "lncRNA (ENSCAFG00000054540.1)". The record is from RNAcentral. Lineage: Eukaryota; Metazoa; Chordata; Mammalia; Carnivora; Canidae.